GAUGAACGCUGGCGGCGUGCCUAAUACAUGCAAGUCGAGCGAACAGACGAGGAGCUUGCUCCUCUGACGUUAGCGGCGGACGGGUGAGUACACGUGGAUAACCUACCUAUAAGACUGGGAUAACUUCGGGAAACCGGAGCUAAUACCGGAUAAUAUAUUGAACCGCAUGGUUCCAUAGUGAAAGACGGUUUUGCUGUCACUUAUAGAUGGAUCCGCGCCGCAUUAGCUAGUUGGUAAGGUAACGGCUUACCAAGGCGACGAUGCGUAGCCGACCUGAGAGGGUGAUCGGCCACACUGGAACUGAGACACGGUCCAGACUCCUACGGGAGGCAGCAGUAGGGAAUCUUCCGCAAUGGGCGAAAGCCUGACGGAGCAACGCCGCGUGAGUGAUGAAGGUCUUCGGAUCGUAAAACUCUGUUAUUAGGGAAGAACAAAUGUGUAAGUAACUAUGCACGUCUUGACGGUACCUAAUCAGAAAGCCACGGCUAACUACGUG
This 496-nucleotide ribosomal RNA is filed under the name uncultured bacterium. Its description in RNAcentral is "partial 16S ribosomal RNA". It matches the Rfam family "Bacterial small subunit ribosomal RNA", at positions 28 to 507 of the family's 1533-position model. The record is from RNAcentral.